UCCCGUGUGGCUCAGUUGGUAGAGCAUGGUGUUUGCAACACCAGGGUUGUGGGUUCGAUUCCCACGGGGGAA
RNAcentral lists this transfer RNA (72 nucleotides) under Salmo salar (Atlantic salmon). It matches the Rfam family "tRNA". Rfam says of the family: Transfer RNA (tRNA) molecules are approximately 80 nucleotides in length. The record is from Rfam by way of RNAcentral. Lineage: Eukaryota; Metazoa; Chordata; Actinopteri; Salmoniformes; Salmonidae.